This 25-nucleotide ribosomal RNA is filed under the name Trichophyton violaceum. Its description in RNAcentral is "partial 18S ribosomal RNA". The record is from RNAcentral. Lineage: Eukaryota; Fungi; Ascomycota; Eurotiomycetes; Onygenales; Arthrodermataceae.
AGGGGGAACCUCGGAAGGAUCAUUA